Molecule: small nucleolar RNA, 73 nt
Filed under: Trichoplax adhaerens
Lineage: Eukaryota; Metazoa; Placozoa; Uniplacotomia; Trichoplacea; Trichoplacidae
Also listed under: 1 other name
Source: RNAcentral
CAGUUCAGUGAUGAGAUUUUUGCCGCCCCAGUCUGAUUUUCUGUGGUGAAUGGCUUAAAAAUUCUGAUUUCAA